This 468-nucleotide ribosomal RNA is filed under the name uncultured bacterium. RNAcentral describes it as "partial 16S ribosomal RNA". It matches the Rfam family "Bacterial small subunit ribosomal RNA", at positions 28 to 507 of the family's 1533-position model. The record is from RNAcentral.
GACGAACGCUGGCGGCGUGCUUAACACAUGCAAGUCGAACGGAAAGGCCCUGCUUUUGUGGGGUGCUCGAGUGGCGAACGGGUGAGUAACCCGUGAGUAACCUGCCCUUGACUUUGGGAUAACUUCAGGAAACUGGGGCUAAUACCGGAUAGGAGCUCCUGCUGCAUGGUGGGGGUUGGAUAGUUUCGGCGGUUGGGGAUGGACUCGCGGCUUAUCAGCUUGUUGGUGGGGUAGUGGCUUACCAAGGCUUUGACGGGUGGCCGGCCUGCGAGGGUGACCGGCCACAUUGGGACUGGGAUACGGCACAGACUCCUACGGGAGGCAGCAGUGGGGAAUAGUGCACAAUGGGCGGAAGCCUGAUGCAGCAACGCCGCGUGCGGGAUGACGGCCUUCGGGUUGGAAACCGCUUUCGCCUGUGACGAAGCGUGAGUGACGGUAAUGGGUAAAGAAGCACCGGCUAACUACGUG